UGGNGGCGUGGUUAAGACAUGCAAGUCGAACGGAGCAGGUAGCAAUAUCUGCUUAGUGGCGAACGGGUGCGUAACACGUGGGCAACAUGCCUGAAAGCGCGGGAUAGCCCGGGGAAACCCGGAUUAAUACCGCAUGUGACUUGGAAGCGGCUUCGCUUUCUUUUCAAAGGUGGGGACCGCAAGGCCUGCCGCUUUCAGAUUGGCCCGCGUCCUAUCAGCUAGUUGGUGAGGUAACGGCUCACCAAGGCAACGACGGGUAGCUGGUCUGAGAGGACGACCAGCCACACUGGAACUGAGACACGGUCCAGACACCUACGGGUGGCAGCAGUCGAGAAUCUUUCACGAUGGGGGAAACCCUGAUGGAGCGACGCCGCGUGGAGGAUGAAGGUCUUCGGAUUGUAAACUCCUGUCAUGAAAGAACAAGCAAUGUGGGUUAAUAACCUGCAACGUUGAUAGUAUUUCAAGAGGAAGGGACGGCUAACUUCGUGCCAGCAGCCGCGGUAAUACGAAGGUCCCAAGCGUUGUUCGGAAUCACUGGGCGUAAAGAGUGCGUAGGCGGCGCGGAAAGUCAGAUGUGAAAUCCCGGGGCUCAACCUCGGAACGGCAUCCGAUACUCCCGCGCUAGAGGACUGGAGAGGAGUCUGGAAUUCACGGUGUAGCAGUGAAAUGCGUAGAUAUCGUGAGGAACACUAGUGGCGAAGGCGAGACUCUGGACAGUUCCUGACGCUGANGCACGAANGCCAGGGGAGCGAANGGGAUUAGAUACCCCCGUAGUCCUGGNNNUAAACGGUGCUCGCUUGGNAUGCGCGGUUUCGANCCCGUGCGUGCCGGANCUAACGCGUUAAGCGAGCCGCCUGGGAAGUACGGNCGCAAGAUUAAAACUCAAAGAAAAUUGACGGGGACCCGCACAAGCGGUGG
This 918-nucleotide ribosomal RNA is filed under the name uncultured bacterium. Its description in RNAcentral is "bacterial SSU rRNA". It matches the Rfam family "Bacterial small subunit ribosomal RNA", at positions 37 to 935 of the family's 1533-position model. The record is from RNAcentral.